CUACGGGAUGCAGCAGUGGGGAAUAUUGCACAAUGGGGGGGACCCUGAUGCAGCAACGCCGCGUGGAGGAUGACGCAUUUCGGUGUGUAAACUCCUUUUAUAUGUCAAGAAAAUGACGGUAGCAUAUGAAUAAGCACCGGCUAACUCCGUGCCAGCAGCCGCGGUAAUACGGAGGGUGCAAGCGUUACUCGGAAUCACUGGGCGUAAAGGACGCGUAGGCGGGUUGGAAAGUCAGGUGUGAAAUCCUACAGCUUAACUGUAGAACUGCACUUGAAACUUCUAAUCUAGAGUAUGGGAGGGGGAGAUGGAAUUAGUGGUGUAGGGGUAAAAUCCGUAGAUAUCACUAGGAAUACCUAAAGCGAAGGCGAUCUCCUGGAACAUUACUGACGCUAAGACGUGAAAGCGUGGGGAGCAAACAGGAUUAGAUACCCUUGUAGUC
This 439-nucleotide ribosomal RNA is filed under the name uncultured bacterium. RNAcentral describes it as "partial 16S ribosomal RNA". It matches the Rfam family "Bacterial small subunit ribosomal RNA", at positions 339 to 795 of the family's 1533-position model. The record is from RNAcentral.